This 464-nucleotide ribosomal RNA is filed under the name uncultured bacterium. RNAcentral describes it as "bacterial SSU rRNA". It matches the Rfam family "Bacterial small subunit ribosomal RNA", at positions 917 to 1382 of the family's 1533-position model. The record is from RNAcentral.
GGGCCCGCACAAGCGGCGGAGCAUGUUGCUUAAUUCGACGCAACGCGAAGAACCUUACCAAGGUUUGACAUGCAGGGAAAAGCCGUAGAGAUACGGUGUCCGUAAGGGCCCUGCACAGGUGGUGCAUGGCUGUCGUCAGCUCGUGUCGUGAGAUGUUGGGUUAAGUCCCGCAACGAGCGCAACCCUCGUCCUAUGUUGCCAGCGGAUAAUGCCGGGGACUCAUAGGAGACUGCCGGGGUCAACUCGGAGGAAGGUGGGGAUGAGGUCAAGUCAUCAUGCCCCUUAAGUCUUGGGCUGCAAACAUGCUACAAUGGCCGGUACAGAGGGCUGCGAAACCGCAAGGUGGAGCGAAUCUCAAAAAGCCGGUCUCAGUUCGGAUUGGGGUCUGCAACUCGACCCCAUGAAGUCGGAGUCGCUAGUAAUCGCAGAUCAGCAACGCUGCGGUGAAUACGUUCCCGGGCCUU